This 468-nucleotide ribosomal RNA is filed under the name uncultured bacterium. RNAcentral describes it as "partial 16S ribosomal RNA". It matches the Rfam family "Bacterial small subunit ribosomal RNA", at positions 28 to 507 of the family's 1533-position model. The record is from RNAcentral.
GACGAACGCUGGCGGCGUGCUUAACACAUGCAAGUCGAACGGAAAGGCCCUGCUUUUGUGGGGUGCUCGAGUGGCGAACGGGUGAGUAACACGUGAGUAACCUGCCCUUGACUUUGGGAUAACUUCAGGAAACUGGGGCUAAUACCGGAUAGGAGCUCCUGCUGCAUGGUGGGGGUUAGAAAGUUUCGGCGGUUGGGGAUGGACUCGCGGCUUAUCAGCUUGUUGGUGGGGUAGUGGCUUACCAAGGCUUUGACGGGUAGCCGGCCUGCGAGGGUGACCGGCCACAUUGGGACUGAGAUACGGCCCAGACUCCUACGGGAGGCAGCAGUGGGGAAUAUUGCACAAUGGGCGGAAGCCUGAUGCAGCAACGCCGCGUGCGGGAUGACGGCCUUCGGGUUGUAAACCGCUUUCGCCUGUGACGAAGCGUGAGUGACGGUAAUGGGUAAAGAAGCACCGGCUAACUACGUG